This 256-nucleotide ribosomal RNA is filed under the name uncultured bacterium. RNAcentral describes it as "partial 16S ribosomal RNA". It matches the Rfam family "Bacterial small subunit ribosomal RNA", at positions 338 to 586 of the family's 1533-position model. The record is from RNAcentral.
CCUACGGGGCGCAGCAGUAGGGAAUCUUCCACAAUGGACGAAAGUCUGAUGGAGCAACGCCGCGUGAGUGAAGAAGGGUUUCGGCUCGUAAAGCUCUGUUGGUAGUGAAGAAAGAGAGAGGUAGUAACUGGCCUUUAUUUGACGGUAAUUACUUAGAAAGUCACGGCUAACUACGUGCCAGCAGCCGCGGUAAUACGGAGGGGGCAAGCGGUGUCCGGAUUUAUUGGGCGUAAAGCGAGUGCAGGCGGGUCAAAGA